UUUUAAUUUUCUUUUCUUUUUUAAAUCCAGUGAGUAUUAAGGGAGUCUAAGGCAAUUGAAAUGAAGGUUUAUGGGAAUUUACAGGUGUGUUUCUUUAUGGCUUAGAGAAACCUUUUGUUGCCAAAACUUUAGUACCUUUGUACCCUAAAAUCCCUUAGAGUGCUGUUACGGAAGUUACCUUGUAAUAAAUUUCUUCAACCCCUCAGAACGUUUGACUCCUUGAAAGACUCCUUGUUUAUAAUUUCAAUAAUUUUUAUUCCAUUAAAGGCUUCCUUUUAGGGGUCUUCGUUGUUUGGUUAUGGCGUGAAGGUGUGAAUCUGUACAUGCAUCAGAAAAUCUGAUUUUCUGUGUGUUGGGUUUUGGAUAUGUGUCCCUUGGCCUCAUUCUGCCUGUAAAGAAUCAUAUACAUGUGUAACGCUGCACUUGAGGAUAUCAAAAUAAUUUCUCCACUUUAAAGUUCAGAAAUUCCUAAUGUUUAGUAUUUCUGCAAAUUUUGGUGAUGUCAUCUUUGUUCAAUGGCACCUCACAUUUACUCACAGUAUCAGUGUAAAGUUUAGUCCUGACAGACUUGGGGUCUUAAAUUUGACUGAAAUAUCCAUGCUCAGACAAUUAAAUAAGCUCACAAAUCAUGGAAAGUGCCUUAGUAACUGACUUUGGAUGCAGGGGAAUUGCUCAGUGUUUGCAGUUCUGAAGAAAUCUCUCUCUCAGUUUGGUUUUAGAGCCCUUUCUGUGAGAGUCUUGUCCUUUUGCUGCAGUAGGAGUUGCAGCUGCUUCUGAGGCAGAGGAUGUUUGUUUCUGGGUCGGACAACAGAGAUCCCAUCAGAGCCUGCAGGAGCAUCCCCACAGCUUUUAGACUUUCCUGUUUCGCCCCUUCAGCUGUGCAGCUGAGUGGAACCUGGCUGUGGAGUGGGACUUGGGCCAGACCUGUAUUUACACACCCAGGGCAGCAGUGCUGUGUUGUGUCAUGGUGGUACUAG
This 977-nucleotide long non-coding RNA is filed under the name Parus major (Great Tit). RNAcentral's name for it is "lncRNA (ENSPMJG00000003932.1)". Lineage: Eukaryota; Metazoa; Chordata; Aves; Passeriformes; Paridae. The record is from RNAcentral.